GACGAACGCUGGCGGCAUGCUUAACACAUGCAAGUCGAACGGAAAGGCCCUGCUUUUGUGGGGUGCUCGAGUGGCGAACGGGUGAGUAACACGUGAGUAACCUGCCCUUGACUUUGGGAUAACUUCAGGAAACUGGGGCUAAUACCGGAUAGGAGCUCCUGCUGCAUGGUGGGGGUUGGAAAGUUUCGGCGGUUGGGGAUGGACUCGCGGCUUAUCAGCUUGUUGGUGGGGUAGUGGCUUACCAAGGCUUUGACGGGUAGCCGGCCUGAGAGGGUGACCGGCCACAUUGGGACUGAGAUACGGCCCAGACUCCCACGGGAGGCAGCAGUGGGGAAUAUUGCACAAUGGGCGGAAGCCUGAUGCAGCAACGCCGCGUGCGGGAUGACGGCCUUCGGGUUGUAAACCGCUUUCGCCUGUGACGAAGCGUGAGUGACGGUAAUGGGUAAAGAAGCACCGGCUAACUACGUG
Molecule: ribosomal RNA, 468 nt
Filed under: uncultured bacterium
Lineage: Bacteria
Description: partial 16S ribosomal RNA
Rfam family: Bacterial small subunit ribosomal RNA
Source: RNAcentral